RNAcentral lists this ribosomal RNA (779 nucleotides) under uncultured Neocallimastigales. Its description in RNAcentral is "partial large subunit ribosomal RNA". It matches the Rfam family "Eukaryotic large subunit ribosomal RNA", at positions 23 to 634 of the family's 3401-position model. The record is from RNAcentral. Lineage: Eukaryota; Fungi; Neocallimastigomycota; Neocallimastigomycetes; Neocallimastigales.
AGAGAGAGACAUGCGCGCAUAUCAAUAAGCGGAGGAAAAGAAACUAACAAGGAUUCCCUUAGUAACGGCGAGUGAAGCGGGAAGAGCUCAAAUUUGAAAUCUUCAAGGUUUUACCUUGACGAAUUGUAGUUUAAAGAAGUGUUUUUCUGCUGAAGUUUUUGGUAAAAGUUCUUUGGAAUAGGACAUCAUAGAGGGUGAGAAUCCCGUAUUUGACCAUUAUUUUCAGCUUUGUGAUACACUUUCAAAGAGUCGGAUUGUUUGGGAAUGCAGUCCAAAAUGGGUGGUAAAUUUCAUCUAAAGCUAAAUAUUGGCGAGAGACCGAUAGCGAACAAGUACCGUGAGGGAAAGAUGAAAAGAACUUUGAAAAGAGAGUUAAACAGUACGUGAAAUUGUCAAAAGGGAAGCGUUUUGACACCAGUGUUGUUUUCUCGAAAAUCAAUUAAAAAUGGCUCGAUUUUGUAUUGUUGAGACCUUAAAAGCUCACUGUACAUUUUUUCGUGUCUUUUUUAAUGCACUUUUCGUUUAACAAGUCAACAUCAGUUUUCUUUUGUUGUAAAAGGGUCAUUGGAAGGUGGCUUUCUUUUCGGAGAAAGUGUUUAUAGCCUUUGGCCUCUGCAAUCGGAGAGACUGAGGUCUGCAGCGUAGACUCUUCGGGGUUAGAUACAUUUGUGCUAAGUUAUAGCUUUUUAUAGACAACUUGUUGACUAUAAUUAGUCUUGUAGCUUACUCGCUUAUGCUAUUUUACCUACGCUUAGGAUGUUGAGUCGUAGAGCACGCAG